CCAGCAAUUGGAUUUCAUCAAUAUUAUAUAACGUUGAUUAAAAUUUCCUUUUCUCUCGAGCAACCAUGUAUAUUCCAAGCGUGAUGAAGGGAUUAGAUCAUCGUAUCGUAUUAUGCUUAUGCUUACUUCCAACCCCAAAGGCAGACUUUCUAUGUGCUUGUCUCUUUGCUUCGAGGACCAGCGAACUCUUCACUCUAUAUGACAGAAACAGCCUAGAAUCCAGGGGGAAAUUUGAAAGUCAAUCAAGGAAGGAACUGCAAGAUGGACAGAGCAAGGUCUCGUAGAAAUGUAAAGUCAUCUACAGGCGGAAAUCUGUUCAAGACAGUCGCGAACUUUAUAAUAUAAUGGAAUCGUUUUACCAAUAUGCGGACAAACAACACAGUUUUCGUCUAUGAAUACGAAAUAAAAAAUUUAAAUAAAAAUUAUAUUAAUCCUUUCGAUACGAGUUGUUUUUAACAUCGAUGAUAAAGAAAAUAAUCACAGACUUCGCUGGAUGCAUAAGCAUUCAUAGACAACAUCAAUGGAAUUUUUUCUGAUGAAUAUGUACUUCUCCUGUAGGAAAGUAUGAGAUGACUCGUUUGUUUGUAAGAAAUGUUCAAGAGCAGUUAUGAAAUCAUUUACGGAUUUCACUACGUUUUACAUAUUCGAAACUUUCCAUCUUUGCAUUUCUUUUCUGUCUCCCCUUUCUCAUGAAUACUUGAAUACAUGAUUUUUUCAAAUGUAAUAAAAAAAAAAAAAAAAAAAAAAAAAUGCUAAUUCGUAUAUUACAAAACUUCACAAAAAUAAUCGUAAGAAUCUGUUCUAUUUUUCCUCGUAUAUUUCCUUGUUUGGAAAAAGGAAUAAUUUAUGACUUGUAAUUUGUAAAAUUACGCUAAUAAUAUCAGUUUACUUGUACAAGAUGGCCACCAUACACAUAUUUGUCACAUUAGAAAAUAUAGACCUAACCAAACAGGAAUAUUACACAUUACAAGUUAACGUA
Bombus terrestris (buff-tailed bumblebee) is the source of this 979-nucleotide long non-coding RNA. RefSeq lists it as uncharacterized. NCBI's taxonomy places the organism in Eukaryota, Metazoa, Arthropoda, Insecta, Hymenoptera, Apidae. The transcript has 4 exons. The record is from RefSeq and is a predicted model, not a curated record.